This 1583-nucleotide unclassified non-coding RNA is filed under the name Leishmania donovani. RNAcentral describes it as "gene:LdHU3.19.1540(CDS-product:SPFH_domain_/_Band _7_family_putative)". The record is from RNAcentral. Lineage: Eukaryota; Euglenozoa; Kinetoplastea; Trypanosomatida; Trypanosomatidae.
GCAAUUCAGCCCUAUCGUCCUCCCUCCCUCCCACCCUCCCUCCGCACCCCUUACACACAUGACUACGCCCUAGCGCCCACCCUCAUCUCCGCACGCGUCGUUUCGAUUUUUGUUCGUCUUCGCUCCCUUUCUGCUGCCCACGUAAAUCCGCGCUUGUUGUUGCUCGCUCGGCUGUCCUCGUGACUUUCCCUGGUGUGUGUGUGUGUGUGUGUGACGUGCGCGUGUGGGUAGCCGCACCUCCCUCCGUCGCUUAAUCGUGUCGUCUCUCGUCGAUUUUCGUGUCUUUGUGCUUGUUUCGGCUGUGGCUCGCUCGGUUUUCUGUCACGCCUGGACCGUCUGGGCGGCUCGCGCCUGCUCGACGAGGAAAAUGACCUUCUGCGGCUGUGGGUGCGUGUCGACGUCGGAGGUCGGCAUUAUCGAGAACUGCGGCAAGUUUGACCGCACUGCCGACCCGGGCUGCUUCUGCAUAGUUCCGUGUGUCGAGUCGGUGCGCGGUGUCGUCUCACUCAAGGUCGCCAUCUCCACCGUUCGGGUAGAAACCAAAACACGCGACAACGCCGUCGUCAACAUUGAGACCCGGUUGCACUACAAGGUCAUCGCCGAGUACGCCGAGGAUGCCUUCUACCGCUUCUCGAACCCCUCAGAGCAGAUCGCGAGCUUCGCUGCCAGCAUAGUGCGUGGCGAGGUGCCGAAGUACACGUUGGACGAGCUGUUCCUCAUGUCUGACGAAAUCAAGAAGGUGGUCAGUGCCGAGCUGACCGAGAAGCUGUGCGGCUUCGGCUUCUCGCUGGAGAGCACGCUGCUCACCCGCAUCGAGCCAAGCGCGAGUGUGAAGACGGCCAUUUCGCAGACGCAGAUCAACGCGUACCGCCGCACGGCAGCUGAGCACGAGUCGGAGCUGAAUAAGAUUUUGGCGGUGAAGGCGGCCGAGGCAGAUUACGAGGAGAAGAGACUCUCCGGUGUGGGCCUCGCCCAGGAGCGCCAGGCGAUUAUGAAGGGCCUGAAGAGCAGCAUCGAGUCUUUCGUGAACGCCGUGCCGAGUAUGCGCGCAAAGGAUGUUAUGAACCUGCUUCUGCUGAACCAGUACUUUGACGCCAUGAAGGAAGUGGGCUCGGGGAAGUCGAAUAAACUCAUCCUGAUGCCCAAUACGUGCGGUGCCGCCCCGAACUUCAUGGCUGAUCUCGUGGCAGCACAGGCCGGGGCGGCGAGGAUGAUGUGAUGGUGAACCGCUGGAAGCCAAAACGGCCGGGCUACAGAGGGAGAAGGAGCUGCGUGAAGUGGAGAAAAGGGAGCGAACGAAGCUGCAUCGUGUACUACGAGAGAGCGGUUAGGCGGAGGCGAGGGCGAGGGGGUCGGGGGUGUCGGGGGCUCAGGCAGAGCGGGAAGGGCAGGCCUCGUGCAAAUUCGCACAUAUAGAUAGGAAUAGACAAGCAGCGGUGCGCACGCGCACGCCUGGUGCCGCGUGGCACGCAGAGGGCUCACUGUGCAUUUUCCCUUUCUCUUCGAUUAUGAUUUGCCUUCUUUCUUUGUUUUACCUUCUCUCUCUUUCUGUGUGUGUGUAUGUGUGCAUGCCCUCGCUCUAG